This 421-nucleotide ribosomal RNA is filed under the name uncultured bacterium. RNAcentral's name for it is "bacterial SSU rRNA". It matches the Rfam family "Bacterial small subunit ribosomal RNA", at positions 43 to 465 of the family's 1533-position model. The record is from RNAcentral.
CAGGCCUAACACAUGCAAGUCGAGCGGUAGAGAGGUGCUUGCACCUCUUGAGAGCGGCGGACGGGUGAGUAAUACCUAGGAAUCUGCCUGGUAGUGGGGGAUAACGUUCGGAAACGGACGCUAAUACCGCAUACGUCCUACGGGAGAAAGCAGGGGACCUUCGGGCCUUGCGCUAUCAGAUGAGCCUAGGUCGGAUUAGCUAGUUGGUGAGGUAAUGGCUCACCAAGGCGACGAUCCGUAACUGGUCUGAGAGGAUGAUCAGUCACACUGGAACUGAGACACGGUCCAGACUCCUACGGGAGGCAGCAGUGGGGAAUAUUGGACAAUGGGCGAAAGCCUGAUCCAGCCAUGCCGCGUGUGUGAAGAAGGUCUUCGGAUUGUAAAGCACUUUAAGUUGGGAGGAAGGGCAGUUACCUAAUAC